CCAGUAAGUCGGGUGAUUGCCCUAUACCAAUAUAAAUAUUUGGUCGGGAGGAAAGUCCGAACACUCAUUUCCCGCUUUUAGCGGGAUCUAAAAAGAUAGUGGAUAACAUCCAUCGGCGCAAACUCUGUAAUUUAUGGAGCAAGGCUAGAGGUGCGAACAGUGACGCCCUAGACGCCGAAAGGCGUCGGGCGCCCGUCCGCCGUAAGGCGGAAUAGGGCGAAUCUCAAGAGUAAUCUUGGGAGUGAAACGGCUAAAUCCUUAUCGGGCGCAAGAGUAAACGGGAGGUUCUGGGUUUUUAUAUCUUAGAAUUUUCCUGAAAAGGUAACUCGCUUGAUCCCGAGAGUAAUCGAGGGACCAGAUAGAUAAUCACCAUCCCGAGUUCCGCGAAGCGGAACGAAGGAUACAGAAUUCGGCUUACAGACUUGCUGGGACA
RNAcentral lists this RNase P RNA (433 nucleotides) under bacterium. Its description in RNAcentral is "RNase P RNA component class A". It matches the Rfam family "Bacterial RNase P class A". From Rfam's summary of the family: Ribonuclease P (RNase P) is a ubiquitous endoribonuclease, found in archaea, bacteria and eukarya as well as chloroplasts and mitochondria. Its best characterised activity is the generation of mature 5'-ends of tRNAs by cleaving the 5'-leader elements of precursor-tRNAs. The record is from RNAcentral.